AACGAACGCUGGCGGCAUGCCUAACACAUGCAAGUCGAACGAGACCUUCGGGUCUAGUGGCGCACGGGUGCGUAACGCGUGGGAACCUGCCCUUAGGUUCGGAAUAACUCCCCGAAAGGGGUGCUAAUACCGGAUAAUGUCUUCGGACCAAAGAUUUAUCGCCUUUGGAUGGGCCCGCGUUGGAUGAGCUAGUUGGUAGGGUAAAAGCCAUCCAAGGCGACGAUCCAUAGCUGGUCUGAGAAGAGGAUUAGCCACACUGGGACUGGGACACGGCCCAGAUGCCACGGGAAGGCAGAAGUGGGGACGUUGGAACAAUGGGCGAAGGCUGAACCCAUCAAGCCCGGGGAAGGAAGGAAGGCUUUAGGGUUGAAAAGCUCUUUAACCCGGAAUGUUAAGACGGUACCCGGAGAAAAAGCCCCGGCUAACUCCGUG
RNAcentral lists this ribosomal RNA (432 nucleotides) under uncultured bacterium. Its description in RNAcentral is "partial 16S ribosomal RNA". It matches the Rfam family "Bacterial small subunit ribosomal RNA", at positions 29 to 507 of the family's 1533-position model. The record is from RNAcentral.